ANAAUUAAAGCGAAUGGNUCAUUANAUAANUUAUCGUUUAUUUNANAUUACCUUACUACAUGGAUAACCGUGGUAAUUCUAGAGCUAAUACAUGCUGAAAAUCCCGACUUCGGAAGGGAUGUAUUUAUUAUUCAAAACCAAUGCCCUUCGGGGCUCCNAUGGUGAUUCAUGAUAACUUCUCAAAUCNCACGGCCCCGCGCCGGCAAUGGUUCUUUCAAAUUUCUUCCCUAUCUGCUUUCCAUGCUACCGUAGGGUCCUANCAUGAUUGCCACGGGUANCGGGGAAUU
This 287-nucleotide ribosomal RNA is filed under the name uncultured fungus. RNAcentral's name for it is "partial 18S ribosomal RNA". It matches the Rfam family "Eukaryotic small subunit ribosomal RNA", at positions 78 to 371 of the family's 1831-position model. The record is from RNAcentral. Lineage: Eukaryota; Fungi.